Kogia breviceps (pygmy sperm whale) is the source of this 274-nucleotide non-coding RNA. The record is from RefSeq and is a predicted model, not a curated record. NCBI's taxonomy places the organism in Eukaryota, Metazoa, Chordata, Mammalia, Artiodactyla, Physeteridae.
CCAAAAUGUAAACAGAUGAAAGACAAGCUAUUCUGGUUCGAUACAGGAACUUCCACAUAUUUGUUUAUUAGACGAUUCUUGUGCAUCAGCUACUACCAGACAGGCACCAUAGAUGGCAAUGACAACACAGUUUCUGCCUUAAAGAAGCUUAUCAUCUGUGGAGGAAAUGAACAAGUAAACCAAUAAAGAAAGAAGAAAACUAAACAUUCUAAAAAUAACCCACUGAUGUUUAAUGAAGAUGCCUGUGGAGAGAGGCUCAGAAGUAGGGGUAAGA